Molecule: long non-coding RNA, 1236 nt
Filed under: Cyanistes caeruleus (blue tit)
Lineage: Eukaryota; Metazoa; Chordata; Aves; Passeriformes; Paridae
Description: lncRNA (ENSCCEG00000001943.1)
Source: RNAcentral
GUCCCUGAACAAGGCUGGAGCAGCUCUGCAGGAGCAGCCCUUGGGCAUGAGCCCCAGGAGUGUUCCACGUGAAGCUUCCUCCAGAGCUUGGCCAGCACGCAGGAAUCUGAUGUUUAGAAAGCCAUUUUCCUGUCCGUAUAAACAAUUCAACCACAAUAGCCCAAUUCCUGGCUCCGAGGCCUCAUUUAAAUGUUGGCCUCUGAAGGGAAGGACCAGGCCCGUCUUUGGCUUUCGAUUCAGCAGACAGGGAUUGAUAGAACUGACCCCUCCAGUUCCAAGCUCUGCACGCAAGAGAAGAGUUGUGUCCAUCCCACCUGACCAUUUUGGUAACCAUCCACUGCAUCUGGAAAGGCACAAAGGGAAUUUGGGGGGAAUUAGACCAAAGCACAACUUCUCCAGGAUUUGCCCAUUCAACUGUAUUCUGAAACUGCACAGACAUUAGCUAAUUAAUGUGCCAGGACCUGAAAACUUCACUGGCCAGCUCCUGCAGAAAAUACCUAAGUGGCCAUCAGUGUGGAGGACACUGUUUGGAUCUAGAAAAUUUGGAUAUUUUCACAACAGAAGAAACACUUUGAAUGCAUAUUUUGCCAAUUCCUAGAUUACCCUGGCUAUUUUUUUACUGUGCAGCUCACAAGAUGCUCAAAGUGCCCAUAAAGGAUAUGUGGCAGAAGGGAUUUGCCAAAUACAAAAAGAUUUCUGGGAUUCUGUUCAAGUAGUACCAUAGGAAGUCAGGCAGCAGAAGAGAGGCACAUAGGGAUUUUCAGGCAAUAUCCUUCAACUGGAUAUACUAGUCAUGAUCUUGUGAUUAUUUUAUGUAUAUGUGUUACUCUUCCUGAUGACCACACAGAGAAUUUGAUGUCCUUGUGUUCACUCACUGGUAAAUGUUAUAUUUUGCUUAUUAUUUAGAUUUCCUUAGGCUUAAAUGACAUUUUCUAGAUUUUACAGAAAUGUUCCAGAAUUUAUCCUUUCCAAGGUGGCAUGUGCUGUUUGAAAUUAAACUAAAAGACAUCUCUUUGAUGUUACUUUUCAUUCUAAACUUAGCCAUCACAUGCCAAAGCCCCAUUUUUGAUUGAACACAGCUUUCUUCAUUUUUGUAAGUAUUUUUUUUUUUAAAAGAUCUCAUUAAAAAUUAAAUUUUCAUUCCUCUCUAAUGUAUCAGCAAGAUUACAGAACUCUGAUUUACUGUUAGGAUCGGAAAUUAACUUCAAAAGACAAGAAAUGGAAAGUGGUGGCUUA